This 429-nucleotide ribosomal RNA is filed under the name Bacteroidota bacterium. RNAcentral's name for it is "Bacteroidetes bacterium partial 16S ribosomal RNA". It matches the Rfam family "Bacterial small subunit ribosomal RNA", at positions 355 to 776 of the family's 1533-position model. Lineage: Bacteria; Pseudomonadati; Bacteroidota. The record is from RNAcentral.
UAGGGAAUCUUCGGCAAUGGGGGGAACCCUGACCGAGCAACGCCGCGUGAGUGAAGAAGGUUUUCGGAUCGUAAAGCUCUGUUGUUAAGGAAGAACGAGUGUGAGAAUGGAAAGUUCAUGCUGUGACGGUACUUAACCAGAAAGGGACGGCUAACUACGUGCCAGCAGCCGCGGUAAUACGUAGGUCCCGAGCGUUGUCCGGAUUUAUUGGGCGUAAAGCGAGCGCAGGCGGUUAGAAAAGUCUGAAGUGAAAGGCAGUGGCUCAACCAUUGUAGGCUUUGGAAACUGUUUAACUUGAGUGCAGAAGGGGAGAGUGGAAUUCCAUGUGUAGCGGUGAAAUGCGUAGAUAUAUGGAGGAACAACGGUGGCGAAAGCGGCUCUCUGGUCUGUAACUGACGCUGAGGCUCGAAAGCGUGGGGAGCGAACAGG